RNAcentral lists this ribosomal RNA (200 nucleotides) under uncultured bacterium. RNAcentral describes it as "partial 16S ribosomal RNA". It matches the Rfam family "Bacterial small subunit ribosomal RNA", at positions 8 to 214 of the family's 1533-position model. The record is from RNAcentral.
AGAGUUUGAUCCUGGCUCAGAUUGAACGCUGGCGGCACGCCUAACACAUGCAAGUCGAGCGGUAACAGGGUAUGUAGCAAUACAUACCGCUGACGAGCGGCGGACGGGUGAGUAAUACGUAGGAACCUGCCUAGAGUGGGGGACAACCAAGGGAAACUUUGGCUAAUACCGCAUAAACUCGAGAGAGCAAAGCUGCCGCA